Molecule: ribosomal RNA, 253 nt
Filed under: uncultured bacterium
Lineage: Bacteria
Description: partial 16S ribosomal RNA
Rfam family: Bacterial small subunit ribosomal RNA
Source: RNAcentral
UACGUAGGGUGCAAGCGUUAAUCGGAAUUACUGGGCGUAAAGCGUGCGCAGGCGGUUAUGCAAGACAGAUGUGAAAUCCCCGGGCUCAACCUGGGAACUGCAUUUGUGACUGCAUGGCUGGAGUGCGGCGGAGGGGGAUGGAAUUCCGCGUGUAGCAGUGAAAUGCGUAGAUAUGCGGAGGAACACCGAUGGCGAAGGCGAUCCCCUGGGCCUGCACUGACGCUCAUGCACGAAAGCGUGGGGAGCAAACAGG